Molecule: ribosomal RNA, 490 nt
Filed under: uncultured bacterium
Lineage: Bacteria
Description: partial 16S ribosomal RNA
Rfam family: Bacterial small subunit ribosomal RNA
Source: RNAcentral
AGUGAACGCUGGCGGUAGGCCUAACACAUGCAAGUCGAACGGCAGCACAGUAAGAGCUUGCUCUUACGGGUGGCGAGUGGCGGACGGGUGAGGAAUACAUCGGAAUCUACUUUUUCGUGGGGGAUAACGUAGGGAAACUUACGCUAAUACCGCAUACGACCUACGGGUGAAAGCAGGGGAUCUUCGGACCUUGCGCGAUUGAAUGAGCCGAUGUCGGAUUAGCUAGUUGGCGGGGUAAAGGCCCACCAAGGCGACGAUCCGUAGCUGGUCUGAGAGGAUGAUCAGCAACACUGGAACUGAGACACGGUCCAGACUCCUACGGGAGGCAGCAGUGGGGAAUAUUGGACAAUGGGCGCAAGCCUGAUCCAGCCAUACCGCGUGGGUGAAGAAGACCGUCGGGUUGUAAAGCCCUUUUGUUGGGAAAGAAAAGCAGCAGGUUAAUACCCCGCUGUUCUGACGGUACCCAAAGAAUAAGCACCGGCUAACUUCG